Molecule: long non-coding RNA, 1191 nt
Organism: Argiope bruennichi
Lineage: Eukaryota; Metazoa; Arthropoda; Arachnida; Araneae; Araneidae
Exons: 3
Source: RefSeq, a predicted model, not a curated record
CUUAUGAAAUUCUGUCUUCUUAAAUUUGAAAUAUGUUGCAGUAAUAACUAUAAUAAAAGAAGAAAGGAAGGAAGGGCAUGGAUAUGGGUGCACUGAAUUGUGAUACUUUAUCAUGCUGCGUAAAGACAGAGCAUGUCUUUGUAACCGAUUUUGGAAAGACUGAUCAUUUCAACUGCAUCUUCGACAUCUGUUCAAAUUUAAAUGGAUAGUGUCCAGUACUCUAUCCUUUGAUGGUAAUCAAAAUGCUAAAUUAAGAUUAGUCAGCCUAUUUCUUCCAAGAUUUAGUACACGCGAAUGGGAUCUCAGGAAAAUGAUGGAUGUGAUGCAAAGUGAUAAGUUCCUGCAAUGCAACUAGAAGAGUAACAUCAGCAGAGCUUAACGUUGUCGCCAAAUUCGUGAUCUGCUUGUAGAUGCAGGCGAGAAGUUUCACUCUUCCGCACAAGAAUACAAGAUGUCUCCGUUUGAAGAAAAUCUAAUUUGUUAAAAGCCGAAUUUACUUUCUGCCGAAGCUUGCUAAUAUCAAAUUCCACUCCUUCAAGACAUCAUCGGCAACGUCUUCGUCCUGCAGAACGAACAUCAACUUUCUACUUGAUGCUCAUUGUUUGAAAACACAGCCUAAAUGGAAGAUUAAAACUGGUGAUUCAUUUUAAAAGUAGUUAUGUUAAAAUUUUUAAACUUAUUUGGAGCUUGUUCACCAACCCUUAGAUCUAGUAUUCGAAUGAAAGGAUUUCAGAAGUUUUAUGACCGGAAUAUAAUCUUGUAUUUAAACACAAAGACCAAAUAGUAUUUCGAAAUUAGUAGCUUCUGCAUUAGUACUUGCCUAAAAUAUCUUUGCAACGUGUGAAACUUUGAAUUAAAACAGAAGCUGACACAUUGCCCAACAAUAGUUCGAAAUUAAAACUUAGUGCACGUUCGUAAACAAAUACAAAGCUUCAGUGUAAAAAUUUUAACUUUGAUUUUGUAUUUCCAUAUUGUUCACGUGCAGAGUAAAAACUGAGAAUGUAACAAAAGCAUUUAAAAAUCUCGAUACUGGAAUAAUUAAUGACCAUUAUAAUUAAUCAUAUGAAACUCUCAAAGCUGAAUCCAGGUCAAAGCAUCAAAGUGCAAGGCAUUUCAGUCUAAUAGGAAAGUUCUUUAAUAUCCAUCAGGUACAUCAUUUACAUCGGAAGAACAAGUACGUGCUCUACAUUG